UCUUGGUCAUUUAGAGGAAGUAAAAGUCGUAACAAGGUUUCCGUAGGUGAACCUGCGGAAGGAUCAUUACCUAGAGUUGUAGGCUUUGCCUGCUAUCUCUUACCCAUGUCUUUUGAGUACCUUACGUUUCCUCGGUGGGUUCGCCCACCGAUUGGACAAAUUUAAACCCUUUGCAGUUGAAAUCAGCGUCUGAAAAAACUUAAUAGUUACAACUUUCAACAACGGAUCUCUUGGUUCUGGCAUCGAUGAAGAACGCAGCGAAAUGCGAUAAGUAGUGUGAAUUGCAGAAUUCAGUGAAUCAUCGAAUCUUUGAACGCACAUUGCGCCCCUUGGUAUUCCAUGGGGCAUGCCUGUUCGAGCGUCAUUUGUACCUUCAAGCUCUGCUUGGUGUUGGGUGUUUGUCUCCUGUAGACUCGCCUUAAAACAAUUGGCAGCCGGCGUAUUGAUUUCGGAGCGCAGUACAUCUCGCGCUUUGCACUCAUAACGACGACAUCCAAAAGUACAUUUUUACACUCUUGACCUCGGAUCAGGUAGGGAUACCCGCUGAACUUAAGCAUAUCAAUAAGCGGAGGAA
This 574-nucleotide ribosomal RNA is filed under the name Phoma sp. TMS-2011. Its description in RNAcentral is "eukaryotic LSU rRNA". The stretch from base 211 to 364 matches the Rfam family "5.8S ribosomal RNA". Lineage: Eukaryota; Fungi; Ascomycota; Dothideomycetes; Pleosporales; Didymellaceae. The record is from RNAcentral. RNAcentral also lists the same sequence under 1 other name.